Molecule: ribosomal RNA, 436 nt
Filed under: uncultured Methanosphaera sp.
Lineage: Archaea; Methanobacteriati; Methanobacteriota; Methanobacteria; Methanobacteriales; Methanobacteriaceae
Description: bacterial SSU rRNA
Rfam family: Archaeal small subunit ribosomal RNA
Source: RNAcentral
UGCGAGUCAUUGUAGCAAUUCAAGGCAUACGGCUCAGUAACGCGUAGUCAACCUACCCUAUGGACGGGAAUAACCUCGGGAAACUGAGUAUAAUUCCCGAUAGAACAUUAUGCCUGGAAUGGUUUAUGUUCCAAAUGAUUUAUCGCCGUAGGAUGGGACUGCGGCCUAUCAGUUUGUUGGUGAGGUAAUGGCCCACCAAGACUAUUACAGGUACGGGCUCUGAGAGGAGUAGCCCGGAGAUGGGUACUGAGACACGGACCCAGGCCCUAUGGGGCGCAGCAGGCGAGAAAACUUUGCAAUGUGCGAAAGCACGACAAGGUUAAUCCGAGUGGUUUCUGCUAAAGGAACCUUUUGUCAGUCCUAAAAACACUAACGAAUAAGGGGUGGGCAAGUUCUGGUGUCAGCCGCCGCGGUAAAACCAGCACCUCAAGUGGUC